This 420-nucleotide ribosomal RNA is filed under the name bacterium. RNAcentral describes it as "partial 16S ribosomal RNA". It matches the Rfam family "Bacterial small subunit ribosomal RNA", at positions 355 to 776 of the family's 1533-position model. The record is from RNAcentral.
UGGGGGAUAUUGCACAAUGGGCGAAAGCCUGAUGCAGCGACGCCGCGUGGGGGAUGAAGGCUUUCGGGUUGUAAACCUCUUUCGCUAUCGAACAAGGCCCGCUUAGGGUGGGUUGAGGGUAGGUGGAGAAGAAGCGCCGGCUAACUACGUGCCAGCAGCCGCGGUAAUACGUAGGGCGCGAGCGUUGUCCGGAAUUAUUGGGCGUAAAGGGCUUGUAGGCGGCUUGUUGCGCCUGCUGUGAAAACGCGGGGCUUAACUUCGCGCGUGCAGUGGGUACGGGCAGGCUUGAGUGUGGUAGGGGUGACUGGAAUUCCAGGUGUAGCGGUGGAAUGCGCAGAUAUCUGGAGGAACAACGAUGGCGAAGGCAGGGCACUGGGCCAUUACUGACGCUGAGGAGCGAAAGCAUGGGUAGCGAACAGG